AGUUCGAUCAUGGCUCAGGAUGAACGCUGGCGGCGUGCCUAAUACAUGCAAGUCGAACGAAACUUCUUUAUCACCGAGUGCUUGCACUCACCGAUAAAGAGUUGAGUGGCGAACGGGUGAGUAACACGUGGGCAACCUGCCCAAAAGAGGGGGAUAACACUUGGAAACAGGUGCUAAUACCGCAUAACCAUAGUUACCGCAUGGUAACUAUGUAAAAGGUGGCUAUGCUACCGCUUUUGGAUGGGCCCGCGGCGCAUUAGCUAGUUGGUGGGGUAAAGGCUUACCAAGGCAAUGAUGCGUAGCCGAACUGAGAGGUUGAUCGGCCACAUUGGGACUGAGACACGGCCCAAACUCCUACGGGAGGCAGCAGUAGGGAAUCUUCCACAAUGGGCGAAAGCCUGAUGGAGCAACGCCGCGUGGGUGAAGAAGGUCUUCGGAUCGUAAAACCCUGUUGUUAGAGAAGAAAGUGCGUGAGAGUAACUGUUCACGUUUCGACGGUAUCUAACCAGAAAGCCACGGCUAACUACGUGCCAGCAGCCGCGGUAAUACGUAGGUGGCAAGCGUUAUCCGGAUUUAUUGGGCGUAAAGGGAACGCAGGCGGUCUUUUAAGUCUGAUGUGAAAGCCUUCGGCUUAACCGGAGUAGUGCAUUGGAAACUGGGAGACUUGAGUGCAGAAGAGGAGAGUGGAACUCCAUGUGUAGCGGUGAAAUGCGUAGAUAUAUGGAAGAACACCAGUGGCGAAAGCGGCUCUCUGGUCUGUAACUGACGCUGAGGUUCGAAAGCGUGGGUAGCAAACAGGAUUAGAUACCCUGGUAGUCCACGCCGUAAACGAUGAAUGCUAAGUGUUGGAGGGUUUCCGCCCUUCAGUGCUGCAGCUAACGCAAUAAGCAUUCCGCCUGGGGAGUACGACCGCAAGGUUGAAACUCAAAGGAAUUGACGGGGGCCCGCACAAGCGGUGGAGCAUGUGGUUUAAUUCGAAGCAACGCGAAGAACCUUACCAGGUCUUGACAUCUUUUGACAAUCCUAGAGAUAGGACUUUCCCUUCGGGGACAAAAUGACAGGUGGUGCAUGGUUGUCGUCAGCUCGUGUCGUGAGAUGUUGGGUUAAGUCCCGCAACGAGCGCAACCCUUAUUGUUAGUUGCCAGCAUUAAGUUGGGCACUCUAGCAAGACUGCCGGUGACAAACCGGAGGAAGGUGGGGAUGACGUCAAAUCAUCAUGCCCCUUAUGACCUGGGCUACACACGUGCUACAAUGGACGGUACAACGAGUCGCAAGACCGCGAGGUUUAGCAAAUCUCUUAAAGCCGUUCUCAGUUCGGAUUGUAGGCUGCAACUCGCCUACAUGAAGUCGGAAUCGCUAGUAAUCGCGGAUCAGCAUGCCGCGGUGAAUACGUUCCCGGGCCUUGUACACACCGCCCGUCACACCAUGAGAGUUUGUAACACCCAAAGCCGGUGGGGUAACCUUUUGGAGCCAGCCGUCUAAGGUGGGAUAGAUGAUUAGGGUGAAGUCGUAACAAGGUAUCC
This 1523-nucleotide ribosomal RNA is filed under the name uncultured bacterium. Its description in RNAcentral is "16S ribosomal RNA". It matches the Rfam family "Bacterial small subunit ribosomal RNA". The record is from RNAcentral.